CCUACGGGGGGCUGCAGUCGCGAAUUUUUCACAAUGGGCGCAAGCCUGAUGAAGCCACGCCGUGUGCGGGAUGAAGGCUCUCUGAGUUGUAAACCGCUGUCAAGUGGAGGGAAACGCGUGGUGUUAACAGCAUCACGUUUGACUGUCCGCUAAAGGAAGCCCCGGCAAAACAUGUGCCAGCAGCCGCGGUAAUACAUGUGGGGCAAGCGUUGUUCGGAAUUACUGGGCAUAAAGGGUGCGUAGGCGGUCUGGUAAGUCGAGGGUGAAAUCCGGUGGCCCAACCAUCGAACUGCCCUUGAUACUGCUGGACUUGAGUGCGUGAGGGGUGACUGGAACGAGUGGUGUAGCGGUGAAAUGCGUAGAUAUCACUCGGAACGCCAACGGCGAAGGCAGGUCACUGGUACGCAACUGACGCUGAGGCACGAAAGCGUGGGGAGCAAACAGGAUUAGAUACCCGUGUAGUC
This 464-nucleotide ribosomal RNA is filed under the name uncultured bacterium. RNAcentral's name for it is "bacterial SSU rRNA". It matches the Rfam family "Bacterial small subunit ribosomal RNA", at positions 338 to 795 of the family's 1533-position model. The record is from RNAcentral.